AGUGGAUGGGGAGCAACCUAGUUGUGCGUGUGUAAAGGUAGUGCCAAGAAAAGCGGUGAUCAUGAUGAAAAUCAAUUCCCGGUACCCGAAACCGACACAGGUGGGCAAGUAGAGAAUACUAAGGGGCGCGAGGUAACUCUCUCCAAGGAACUCGGCAAAAUGACCCCGUAACUUAGGGAGAAGGGGUGCCACCGAGAGGUGGUCGCAGUGAAGAGGCCCAGGCGACUGUUUAGCAAAAACAUAGGUCUCUGCAAACUCGAAAGAGGAGGUAUAGGGGCUGACGCCUGCCCAGUGCCGGAAGGUUAAAGAAGUUGGUCAGUCUUAGGAUAAAGCUAGCGACUGAAGCCCCGGUGAACGGCGGCCGUAACUAUAACGGUCCCAAGGUAGCGAAAUUCCUUGUCGGGUAAGUUCCGACCCGCACGAAAGGCGUAACGAUCUGGACGCUGUCUCGGAGAGAGGCUCGGCGAAAUAGGAUUGUCUGUGAAGAUACGGACUACCUGCAUUUGGACAGAAAGACCCUAUGAAGCUUUACUAUAGCUUGGAAUUGUGUUCGGGCUUCCUGUGCGCAGGAUAGGUGGGAGGCGAAGAAGGUAUUCUUGUGGGGAUACUGGAGCCAACGGUGAGAUACCACUCUCAGGAGGCUAGAAUUCUAACUUAAUUAAGGACAGUUUCAGGUGGGUAGUUUGACUGGGGCGGUCGCCUCCAAAAAGGUAACGGAGGCGUACAAAGGUUCCCUCAGACUGGUUGGAAAUCAGUCGCAGAGUGCAAAGGCAGAAGGGAGCUUGACUGCGAGAAGUACAGUUCGAGCAGGGUGGAAACACGGUCUUAGUGAUCCGACGGUGCUGUGUGGAAGGGCCGUCGCUCAACGGAUAAAAGUUACUCUAGGAUAACAGGCUGAUCUCCCCCAAGAGUUCACAUCGACGGGGAGGUUUGGCACCUCGAUGUCGGCUCAUCGCAACCUGGGGCGGAAGUACGUCCCAAGGGUUGGGCUGUUCGCCCAUUAAAGCGGUACGUGAGCUGGGUUCAGAACGUCGUGAGACAGUUCGGUCCAUAUCCGAUGUAGGCGUGAGAAUAUUGAGAGGAGCCUUCCUUAGUACGAGAGGACCGGGAAGGACGCACCGCUGGUGUACCUGUUAUGAUGCCAAUUGUAAACGCAGGGUAGCCAAGUGCGGAGAGGAUAACCGCUGAAAGCAUCUAAGUGGGAAGCCCACCUCAAGAUGAGUAUUCUGGUGUAAGGUCACGGGAAGACGACCCGUAAAUAGGCACGAGGUGGAAGUGCAGAGAUGUAUGAAGCCGAAGUGUACUAAUAGACCGUCGGCUUGACC
This 1325-nucleotide ribosomal RNA is filed under the name metagenome. RNAcentral describes it as "bacterial LSU rRNA". It matches the Rfam family "Bacterial large subunit ribosomal RNA", at positions 1561 to 2925 of the family's 2925-position model. The record is from RNAcentral.